This 326-nucleotide ribosomal RNA is filed under the name uncultured eukaryote. RNAcentral describes it as "partial 18S ribosomal RNA". It matches the Rfam family "Eukaryotic small subunit ribosomal RNA", at positions 1470 to 1796 of the family's 1831-position model. The record is from RNAcentral.
CCCUUAGAUGUUCUGGGAUGCACGCGCGUUACACUGAUUCGUUCAACGAGUUUAUGACCUUGCCUGAUGAGGUGGGGGAAUCUUUUCAAAUCGCAUCGUGAUGGGGAUAGCGUAUUGUAACUGUUAGUCUUCAACGAGGAAUUCCUAGUAAGUACGUGUCAUCAGCUCGUACUGAUUAUGUCCCUGCCCUUUGUACACACCGCCCGUCGCUCCUACCGAUUGAGUGCUCAGGUGAAUAGUAUGGACUGCAUCAGUGUUCGGUCUCCGAAUGUUGACGCGAGAAAUUCUGUGAAUCUUAUUGCUUAGAGGAAGGAGAAGUCGUAACA